Molecule: non-coding RNA, 121 nt
Organism: Peziza echinospora
Lineage: Eukaryota; Fungi; Ascomycota; Pezizomycetes; Pezizales; Pezizaceae
Source: the annotation of a GenBank genome assembly
GUCAAGGUGCCGGAGUGGUUAACGGGUUCGCCUGCUAUCCUUUCAUAGUUAGAAUUAGCUAAUGAAAAGUACAGUGAAGCGGAUGUCUUCGGACGCGCAGGUUCGAAUCCUGUCCUUGACG